Molecule: long non-coding RNA, 592 nt
Organism: Cervus elaphus (red deer)
Lineage: Eukaryota; Metazoa; Chordata; Mammalia; Artiodactyla; Cervidae
Exons: 4
Source: RefSeq, a predicted model, not a curated record
AGGCAAUCUCUUCCUCUCUUCAAUUAGUAUUUUUCUUUCUUAAAAGUCAUCACCACGCAAUUCAGGAAGUACCUCUAAAUGGCUCUAACAGUCUUAGCUCCUCUUCUGAGUUGCACAUUAUCUACAAAUUCAGGGGAUUCACUUUGCAACAGGACUGGUUUUUGCACACCAGCUGAUGGGAAGAAAAUAAGGAGUCCUGAGUUUGGGUCCAAGGCUCCCAAGGACCAGGCUGGGACUGGAGAGACACCCUCCACUGACAGAGGUUAUCAGGCCGCAAUUCGAGAACAGAGACACCAUCCCCGGGAUCCUCACCUGCAUCCUCCUCCUCCAGACUGGCAUGAUCUAGUUCAACUUUUACCUCUGCUCCUCCAAGGAUGGCCUGGAGUCGCUUUUGUUUUGCUGUGAUCUUCUUCAGCUGUUGUUCCUUAAAUGGUUUUCUCUCAGCAAAUUCUCAUUUAAAACAGCCUGUCUCUGAACAAUCUCUCUCUAAACAUCAGAGAGGUGCUAAAGAAAGACAGAGGAGUAGACAACCAAGUUAGACUAGUACCUAAAGUGGUCUAAGUAUUGGUCCUCGCUGCUCUUUGAAACCCCA